Molecule: long non-coding RNA, 1576 nt
Organism: Oncorhynchus nerka (sockeye salmon)
Lineage: Eukaryota; Metazoa; Chordata; Actinopteri; Salmoniformes; Salmonidae
Exons: 3
Source: RefSeq, a predicted model, not a curated record
UUGAAACAUCAUGAUUUACUUCCUCCCAGACAGUGCGUCAGCCAACUGGUUUUGGUUUCUUGUCUUCUGAGCACGAGAGAUGCAAAGAUCGGCUUUAUCAGAGCAGGACAUUCAAAAGAAAACAGGAAACAAGAAAACGAUCUCGUAUCGAAGAAGACUCGUCAGACAAGUAUGACUCCAGGGAUGUGGACAGGUUAUGGAAGGAUGAUGUUUUGGUUGACUGUUAUCUGGAGUGGCGCCACUUUGUGGUGGAGGACACCUUGAAGAUGAUCGAUGAGAGUCUUCAGUGGAGAAAAGAAUUCAAACAGAAUGGUGGAUUGACCUUUGCCUUUACAGGGACUUGAUGUCAACCAGUGGCCUUGUCCCAUACUGUAUAGCUGUAUUAAUGAAUAUAUAGCUCCAACAAAGAACAGUAGAAUAGCUUGGCUAGGACACAUACCCUGUUAUUGUGCAUUCUUGCAAAUUGCUGACAAACUUCCACUGGUUCAACAUGAUGGUGUUGAUAAGGUGUUUCUCGAUUUGAAAUGUCUUUAUGUAAUGAAUAGUGCUAUAUAAGUAUAAUAUGUAAGAAUGAUGUAUUAUUAUUAUUAUUAUAGACAGCAUUGAGAGUCCAGUUUGAUUCAUGUUUUUAAUAUCCCUUUCUCUUCCAUACAUCAUGAAAGCUCUGUUCAAAGUCUCUAUUUAAGUCUGGCAUGCAUUAUGUCCACGGCUAUGAUAAAGAUUGCAACAAACUGUGUAUGUAUUUAAAUAAUAAUAAUAAUAAUAAUAAUUAAACACUGACAAUCAAGAAGGUUCAGAAAUGUUGUUUCUGAGACCUAACUUAUGGCCACCCUCAUCAUUUUAUCUCUUGUAAAAGCCUCGUCCUCUGGGGUGCUGUGAUCAUUUUUCCAUGCAUCUCACUAUUCAGAUUGUAGUUUCCUGAUUCAAGUUAGGAUUGGGAUUGGCAAUCUUGUGUUUUUGUAUGGUGGAUUACAGUUAGUCUUUUUGAGCUAUUUGGGUAUCUGCCUUGAAGGCCACUGAGGUUUGCUUGUAUGUUGUCUGCCCAGUCUGGUUCAGGGUUAAGUUGCACAUGAAGGAUGUGAAGAUGUUGACGGAGAAGAAAAUGUACGUGGCCUUCUGGUUGGAGAGCUACGCCCGGCGGGAACCGGGGAUUCCCCUCACAGGGAUCUUUGACAUGUCCGAAGCGGGUCUAAGCUGCGUUGUAAGAUGUCUGCUCUCCUCUCAUUCCCCUCUAGCUGAUUUUGUUUUGUGGAACUUGGUAUCAAUGUCCAAACAUUGUGUUAACAAGUCACUGAGUGGAUCUUUACACACUAAUGCUUGUCUUUGGUUUCCUUUUAAACUACCGUUGGGAAGACACUAAGGUAAACCUGAACUUUCCUCACCUAUUCUAUACUCAUUCAUGUUCUGUUAUUUAUUUUCCAUAUUAUGUACUGUGCAUGACAAGAAGAAACAUGUGGUAGAUGGCAAACUCUGAAAUACUAGAUGCUGACUAUUAAAUGCAUUAUAUACAUUUUUCUCUCUGAGUGGUUUCUUAGGAGCCUAAGACAGUAUAAACAGUAGCAUUGUCUGGAGUACA